AACAAAGCUGGUCUUGGGAAGAAGGGAAACUUCACAGAGGAGCUGAUAUCUCAAGUGGGUCUUAUAGAAUGAAGUAAGAUAUUGUUUCCCAUGGUCACCACUGUACAGAAGCAAAUGAUUUCCUUCUCAUAUGUCAUCUCACAUCAUCACAAGAAGAAGACUAUCUUCAAUAUCACUGAAUAUCUUCAAGCAAUUGAUCCUCAAAGAGAAUCCAUUAGAUAUAACAGUAAAAUUACAGAAUGCAG
This is a long non-coding RNA of Panthera uncia (snow leopard), 245 nucleotides long. RefSeq lists it as uncharacterized. Lineage: Eukaryota; Metazoa; Chordata; Mammalia; Carnivora; Felidae. The transcript has 3 exons. The record is from RefSeq and is a predicted model, not a curated record.